UACAUGUCACAAGUGUCUUUUAUGCAAGUCUAGUACGUCUCGUAUUCAGAAAGAAAGUGUGUUUUAUGCAAGUCUGGUAAGGAAAAAGAGACUAUAUGGCUUACCUCACCGCGAACCUUAACAGCCUCAGCUUCGGCUUCUGCCUCAAGCACGGUCUUCAGUCUGUGAGCUUCGGCUAACUUCUCCAGUUUGAACUUCUCUGCUUCAGCAGGCCUGUAAUAAACAUGCAAUAUUUUGGUACAAUAAAGUGUCAUUGUUUU
This is a long non-coding RNA of Pararge aegeria (speckled wood butterfly), 260 nucleotides long. RefSeq lists it as uncharacterized. NCBI's taxonomy places the organism in Eukaryota, Metazoa, Arthropoda, Insecta, Lepidoptera, Nymphalidae. The transcript has 2 exons. The record is from RefSeq and is a predicted model, not a curated record.